Non-coding RNA from Equus caballus (horse), 2265 nucleotides. The record is from RefSeq and is a predicted model, not a curated record. Lineage: Eukaryota; Metazoa; Chordata; Mammalia; Perissodactyla; Equidae.
UUAAUUCCUCUUUCUGAUAAUUCAUUGUUAGUGUAUAAAAACACAGCAGGUUUUUGUACUAACAGUGCUAGUUUACGUAUUUUUUAUUGAUCCUGGUUCUUUGCCAGGCACUGCCCCAGGUGUUUCACACACAUCAACUCUAAUCCGCACGGGAGUUCUGCAAGACAGGGGCUACUGUUCCCCUCCGCUAGAUCACUGUGCAGAGGCUCGGGAGAGAGGGGCGAGGUUUAGUUCUGCAGCUCACGUUCACAGCCUCAUGCCCUGCAGCCUCUGCUAAUGGCGGCAGUGCCCAGCUUUCAGCAGCCCUCCACAUAAACUGUCUAUCAGUAUGUGGUGCAUCCAGAUCUUCAGUGACUCAACAGGGUUGGUGUUCUGCUUACUAUUGCUGGGUAACAAACCACCCCCAAACUUUGUGGUAUCAAAGAGCCAUUUUAUCACAUUCAUAGAUUCUGUGUGUAAGGAAUCUACACAGGGAAAUGAAGAAGCCUAUUUCUAGGGCCUCGGCUAGAUUCUGUCCUGGAGGGUUCUUCACGCGCCUGCUGGCUUUUGGCUGGAGCCUCGGGUGGGACUGUCAGCCAGAACACCAAUCUGCAAACUCUCUAUAUUGCCUGGGUUUUCUCACCACAUGUUAGCCCCUGAGUAGUUGGUCAUCUUAUAGGGCAGCUCAGGGCUCCAGCGUGAGUGUCCCAAAAGAAUUAGGCAUAAGCCUUUCCUGAGCUAGCCCUGGAAAUUAUGCUGGGCCACUCCUGAUGCAUGCUGUUGGUUACAAGCAAGUGACUAAGAUUGACCUAGAUUCAAGGAGGGGACAUGGACACCCAUUUCUUAAUAGGAAAAGUAUCAAAGAAUUUGCAAACGUGCGUUAAAGCCAUCACAGUGGGUAACAAAUAGUCCACUACAUACUGUGACUUGUGGCUAAUCCGUUGGUGUUGGAGUUCCUAUGUGUCUCCCCUGUUGGACCUUGCCCCUGCCUGCUGACCCACUUGACUCCUAGAAAUAUAAGCCGGGGAGCCCUCCAGGCAAAUGCCUCUCUAUUACUGGUGGGGCUUCUGCCCCUAAUUUCUAGCUGAUCUGCUGCCUUGAUAAACUGGCCAGGGAAGAGGCGAAACAUUGGUAGACUCCUUUUCAACCUUUUUUUCUAAGGACAGACAGUCAGAAUAUGCUUCUCAUUAACCUUGGACGGUUUUGCUUGGCUUUUCAGAAGCAAGAGUAGGCUGAAAAAUUCAAAUUUAUUACUUCACUCACAUGAGAUCAUGCACCUGGUUAAUUCAAUUUUUUUAAGUAAUUUUAUUGGGAUUAUAAUGGUUUGUAACAAUGAGAAUUCAAUCUUUAGUAAAUUAAAAUAUUUGUUGACAGAAAGACCCUGCUGGUGGAGACAGAAAUCAUUGAUCAAGGAGGAAAAAUUGAGUAAAGACAUGAAAACUACUUAACUGGAAAAGGUGAUUAGACAGCAGAGUGGAAUUGAUGAUUUGGUGCCUCCUUUUCCCUGGACCAUCAUUCCGAGAGACCACACACAGUUAUGACAUAAAGUCCAGCUGAAACGUUCAUUCCAGAUCUCUCUGAAUGGGAUACAUUCAGGCUCAGGGAGCCGCUCUUAACUGACGGUGUUGCCUAGGACAGAGAGCUGUGGAGCAGCGGGGACCAGGAAUUCUGAGUGUAGCCACCACUCGCUCACUUCACAUUUGACACAUACGCAGGUAAAGCUAUUGCUGUUACUGCGUUUCAUAAUUUCAUAAAAAGGCUGCUUAUCAAGUAGCCUUUGGAGCGCUGGAAAAGAGAAUGUGCCACUCAAUAGUCUUCCAUGAAACUGUUCUCUGAAUUAACAGAAAUCUGAAGGGUAGAUGUGCUAUGUAUCUAGAUUUCUUCAGGAUUUUACUAUAUUUUUAACGGAAAUAUUAUGCUUCAUAAUUAUCAGAAUAUUUUCUGCUAUAACGAGCUGAAAUACUACAUUUCCCAAUUUCUCUUGCAACAGGAGAGCAGUCAUUUGACUAAGUUCUAAAGGGAGGGUAUAAACUUCCAAGUCUCCUUUACUUUUAACUUCUGACUCUUCUUAAAAGAGAGGGAGUACAUCCUUCAUGCUGCCUGGAAUGUGGGCAUGUGGAAUGUGAGCAUGAUGGCUAGAGCUUCAGCAGCCAUUAUGAACCAUGUGGCGGAAGCCACCAGCUGAGGAUAGUGGAAUGAGAGCCUGGGUCCCUGACCUGUGAAUCUACCACAGCUGUCUUUACAUGUCAUUCACUUGAGAGACAAAUAAACAUUUUUCUUAUUUAA